RNAcentral lists this ribosomal RNA (793 nucleotides) under uncultured archaeon. Its description in RNAcentral is "bacterial SSU rRNA". It matches the Rfam family "Archaeal small subunit ribosomal RNA", at positions 85 to 879 of the family's 1478-position model. The record is from RNAcentral.
ACUGCUCAGUAACACGUGGACAACCUGCCCUUAGGUUGGGUAUAAACCCGGGAAACUGGGUAUAAUACCCGAUAGGUCUCGAUUGCUGGAAUGCAUCGAGAUUUAAAGCUCCGGCGCCUAAGGAUGGGUCUGCGGCCUAUCAGGUAGUAGUGGGUGUAGCGUACCUACUAGCCUACGACGGGUACGGGUUGUGAGAGCAAGAGCCCGGAGAUGGAUUCUGAGACACGAAUCCAGGCCCUACGGGGUGCAGCAGGCGCGAAAACUUUACAAUGCUGGCAACAGCGAUAAGGGAACCUCGAGUGCCAGGUUACAAAUCUGGCUGUCGAGAUGCCUAAAAAGCAUUUCAUAGCAAGGGCCGGGCAAGACCGGUGCCAGCCGCCGCGGUAACACCGGCGGCUCGAGUGGUAACCGUUAUUAUUGGGUCUAAAGGGUCUGUAGCCGGCCGGAUAAGUCUCUUGAGAAAUCUGGCAGCUUAACUGUCAGGCUUUCAGGAGAUACUGUCUGGCUCGAGGCCGGGAGAGGUGAGAGGUACUUCAGGGGUAGGGGUGAAAUCUUGUAAUCCUUGAAGGACCACCAGUGGCGAAGGCGUCUCACCAGAACGGACCUGACGGCAAGGGACGAAAGCUAGGGGCACGAACCGGAUUAGAUACCCGGGUAGUCCUAGCCGUAAACGAUACUCGCUAGGUGUCGGCCACGGUGCGACCGUUGUCGGUGCCGUAGGGAAGCCGUGAAGCGAGCCAUCUGGGAAGUACGGCCGCAAGGCUGAAACUUAAAGGAAUUGGCGGGGGAGCAC